GACGAACGCUGGCGGCGUGCUUAACACAUGCAAGUCGAACGAAGUGGCGAACGGGUGAGUAAUACGUGGGUAACCUGCCCUCCUUUUUGGGAUAAGCAUUGGAAACGGGGACUAAUACCGAAUAAAGGGGGAUGGGCUCGCGGUCUAUCAUCUUGUUGGUGGGGUGAUUGCCUACCAAGGCGGUGACGGGUAGCCGGCCUGAGAGGGGGACCGGCGACAGUGGGACUGAGGUACGGCCCAGACUCCUACGGGAGGCAGCAGUGGGGGAUAUUGCACAAUGUGCGAAAGGCAGAUGCAGCGACGCCGCGUGAGGGAUGAAGGCUUUCGGGUUGUAAACCUCUUUCGCUAUCUAACGGGUAGCUAGCGAAGAAGCGCCGGCUAACUACGUGCCAGCAGCCGCGGUAAUAC
This 408-nucleotide ribosomal RNA is filed under the name uncultured bacterium. Its description in RNAcentral is "partial 16S ribosomal RNA". It matches the Rfam family "Bacterial small subunit ribosomal RNA", at positions 28 to 526 of the family's 1533-position model. The record is from RNAcentral.